CCACCGUGCCCCGCCUAUUCUUCUUUUAAACCAAAAAAACUUUCAGAGGGUGUUUUCCCCGACGAGGAUGUUCCUGGCGGCCAGGUCCCGGUGGAUGUAAUUCUGCGACUCCAGGUAACACAUGCCCUCAGCCACCUGCCAGGCGAUGUCCAGCAGCUCCGAAACGGGCAGGACUUUCUCAUCAGAGUCUGCAGAGGGGAGUGGAGCAGAGCCUGGGGUCAGCUGAGCCAGCUGAGGUGGGGAAGGGUUGGGGAGGCUGGGCCAUGUCUCAUCUGCCUCCAAGCUCUGCGGGCUCAGAGGAGGGGCCGGGGCAAAGGGCAGCUGGCCUGAUUGAAAAUUGGAACUGCAGGCCAGCUACCGCCCUUCUGGAAGGCAACUGUUUAUCACGAACCAAGGAGCAAGCUGGGCGUGGUGGCUCACGCCUGUAAUCCCAGCACUUUGAGAGGCUGAGGCGGAUGGA
Molecule: long non-coding RNA, 460 nt
Filed under: Homo sapiens (human)
Lineage: Eukaryota; Metazoa; Chordata; Mammalia; Primates; Hominidae
Description: long non-coding RNA NONHSAT080897.2
Source: RNAcentral